Molecule: non-coding RNA, 158 nt
Organism: Afipia sp. 64-13
Lineage: Bacteria; Pseudomonadati; Pseudomonadota; Alphaproteobacteria; Hyphomicrobiales; Nitrobacteraceae
Source: Rfam
GCGAGGCUGUGGCGCGCGUCAGGAGCCAUAAUUCCCCGGGGCCUUAUCGAUCUCAAGGGAACUGUCCCUGGCCGGGUCCGUGGAUCCGGUCACAUGGUGCCCACCUACUUAGGUAGGUCUCCGGGAUCGAGCGCUUCAACGGCGUCUGCGGCUUCGCA